CCCCACAUUCGUCGUACUUUUAGUAAUGCAAGUCGCACGGGAUCAUUUUUGUAGUAAUACUGGAAUGAUUUAGUGGCGCACGGGUGAGUAACACGUGAAUGACAUGCCCUUCAGAGGGGGAUAGCCCAGGGAAACUUGGAUUAAUACCCCAUGGUCUCGCAAGAGUAAAGGUGGCGCAAGCUGCCGCUGAGGGAUUGGUUCGCGCCCCAUCAGCUAGUUGGUGAGGUAACGGCUCACCAAGGCGAUGACGGGUACUUGGUCUGAGAGGACGAUCAGGCACACUGGAACUGAGACACGGUCCAGACACCUACGGGUGGCAGCAGUCGAGAAUAAUUCACAAUGGGGGCAACCCUGAUGGUGCAACGCCGCGUGGAGGAUGAAGGUCUUCGGAUUGUAAACUCCUGUCAUCCGGGAGAAAGACCUGGCUGUGAAUAGCAGACAGGGUUGAUAGUACCGGAAGAGGAAGGGACGGCUAACUUCGUGCCAGCAGCCGCGGUAAUACGAAGGUCCCGAGCGUUGUUCGGAAUCACUGGGCGUAAAGGGAGCGUAGGCGGUUUGGUAAGUCAGAUGUGAAAUCCCGGGGCUCAACCCCGGAACUGCAUCCGAUACUGCCAGACUUGAGCAAUGGAGAGGUAGCUGGAAUUAUCGGAGUAU
Molecule: ribosomal RNA, 654 nt
Filed under: uncultured Verrucomicrobiota bacterium
Lineage: Bacteria; Pseudomonadati; Verrucomicrobiota
Description: bacterial SSU rRNA
Rfam family: Bacterial small subunit ribosomal RNA
Source: RNAcentral